GACGAACGCUGGCGGCGUGCCUAAUACAUGCAAGUCGAACGCAGUGGGGACGGGUGAGUAACACGUGGGUAACCUCCCAUCAGAGGGGAUAAAACUUGGAAACAGGUGCUAAACUGAUACUGAUGGAUGGACCCGCGGUUCAUUAGCUAGUUGGUGAGGUAACGGCUAACCAAGGCCACGAUGAUUAACCGACCUGAGAGGGUUAUCGGCCACACUGUGACUGAGACACGGCCCAGACUCCUACGGGAGGCAGCAGUAGGGAAGCUUCGGCAAUGGACGAAAGUCUGACCGAGCAAGGCCGCGUGAGUGAAGAAGGUUUUCGGAUCGUAAAACUCUGUUGUUAGAGAAGCGGUAUCUAACCAGAAAGCCCCGGCUAACUACGUGCCAGCCGCCGCGGUAAUUC
RNAcentral lists this ribosomal RNA (403 nucleotides) under uncultured bacterium. RNAcentral's name for it is "partial 16S ribosomal RNA". It matches the Rfam family "Bacterial small subunit ribosomal RNA", at positions 28 to 526 of the family's 1533-position model. The record is from RNAcentral.